UAGGGAAUUUUCCACAAUGGGCGAAAGCCUGAUGGAGCAACGCCGCGUGCAGGAUGAAGGCUUUCGGGUCGUAAACUGCUUUUAUGUGUGAAGAAUUUGACUGUAACACAAGAAUAAGGGUCGGCUAACUACGUGCCAGCAGCCGCGGUCAUACGUAGGACCCAAGCAUUAUCCGGAAUUACUGGGCGUAAAGAGUUGCGUAGGUGGCACUGUAAGCAAGGCAUGAAAUCGUGUGGCUCAACCAUACGGCUAUGUUUUGAACUGCAGAGCUAGAGAAUGAGAGGGGUAGAUGGAAUUACUAGUGUAGGAGUGAAAUCCGUAGAUAUUAGUAGGAACACCGAUAGCGUAGGCAGUCUACUGGCUCAUUUCUGACACUCAGGCACGAAAGCGUGGGGAGCAAACGGG
This 405-nucleotide ribosomal RNA is filed under the name uncultured bacterium. RNAcentral describes it as "bacterial SSU rRNA". It matches the Rfam family "Bacterial small subunit ribosomal RNA", at positions 355 to 776 of the family's 1533-position model. The record is from RNAcentral.